This 301-nucleotide ribosomal RNA is filed under the name uncultured bacterium. RNAcentral's name for it is "partial 16S ribosomal RNA". It matches the Rfam family "Bacterial small subunit ribosomal RNA", at positions 509 to 807 of the family's 1533-position model. The record is from RNAcentral.
CAGUAGCCGCGGUAAUACGUAGGGGGCAAGCGUUGUCCGGAAUCAUUGGGCGUAAAGCGCGUGUAGGCGGCUUGUUAAGUCCGCUCUGAAAGCCCGGGGCUCAACCCUGGGAGGCGGGUGGAUACUGAUGAGCUCGAGUCCGGAAGAGGCGAGUGGAAUUCCUGGUGUAGCGGUGAAAUGCGCAGAUAUCAGGAAGAACACCAAUGGCGAAGGCAGCUCGCUGGGACGGUACUGACGCUGAGACGCGAAAGCGUGGGGAGCAAACAGGAUUAGAUACCCCGGUAGUCCCUGUCUCUUAUAC